CCCAAACUCGAAGGAGUUUCA
Molecule: microRNA, 21 nt
Filed under: Drosophila melanogaster (fruit fly)
Lineage: Eukaryota; Metazoa; Arthropoda; Insecta; Diptera; Drosophilidae
Description: dme-miR-997-5p
Gene: dme-miR-997-5p
Source: miRBase by way of RNAcentral